This 721-nucleotide ribosomal RNA is filed under the name uncultured fungus. Its description in RNAcentral is "eukaryotic LSU rRNA". The stretch from base 320 to 473 matches the Rfam family "5.8S ribosomal RNA". Lineage: Eukaryota; Fungi. The record is from RNAcentral.
AAGUCGUAACAAGGUUUCCGUAGGUGAACCUGCGGAAGGAUCAUUAUUGAAUAAACAUGGUGGGUUGUAGCUGGCUUUUCGAAGCAUGUGCACGCCUGCCGUCUUUAUCCAUCCACCUGUGCACCCUCUGUAGUUUUGGGGAAAUAUGAUAGAGCAGCAGACUCUUGAUGGAGCUCUUUGGGUUCUAUCAGAUGUGAAGAAUGCAGAUCGCUUUCUUCAAAUUGCUGUGAUGUCUUCCCAGGUCUAUGUUUUUCCAUACACCACGUAGUAUGUUACAGAAUGUCCUUCAUGGGCCUUUAGUGCCUAUAAAACACAAUACAACUUUCAGCAACGGAUCUCUUGGCUCUCGCAUCGAUGAAGAACGCAGCGAAAUGCGAUAAGUAAUGUGAAUUGCAGAAUUCAGUGAAUCAUCGAAUCUUUGAACGCGCCUUGCGCUCCUUGGUAUUCCGAGGAGCAUGCCUGUUUGAGUGUCAUUAAAUUCUCAACUCCUUCAGUUUUUGUAACUGUUCGAGGUUGGAUUGUGGGGGUUCUUUGCGGGCCUUAGUCGAGGUCAGCUCCCCUGAAAUGCAUUAGCGGAACCGUUUGUGGUCCGUCAUCGGUGUGAUAAUUAUCUACGCCAAAGACGAAGGCUGCCCUCUGUCUGUUCAGCUUACAAUUGUCCUCUAAGGACAACUUCUUGACAUUUGACCUCAAAUCAGGUAGGACUACCCGCUGAACUUAA